RNAcentral lists this ribosomal RNA (253 nucleotides) under uncultured bacterium. Its description in RNAcentral is "partial 16S ribosomal RNA". It matches the Rfam family "Bacterial small subunit ribosomal RNA", at positions 524 to 776 of the family's 1533-position model. The record is from RNAcentral.
UACGUGGGGUGCAGGCGUUAAUCGGAAUUACUGGGCUUAAAGCGUGCGCAGGCGGUUUUGUAAGUCUGUCGUGAAAUCCCCGGGCUCAACCUGGGAAUUGCGAUGGAGACUGCAAGGCUAGAAUCUGGCAGAGGGGGGUAGAAUUCCACGUGUAGCAGUGAAAUGCGUAGAGAUGUGGAGGAACACCGAUGGCGAAGGCAGCCCCCUGGGUCAAGAUUGACGCUCAUGCACGAAAGCGUGGGGAGCAAACAGG